RNAcentral lists this ribosomal RNA (440 nucleotides) under uncultured bacterium. RNAcentral describes it as "partial 16S ribosomal RNA". It matches the Rfam family "Bacterial small subunit ribosomal RNA", at positions 338 to 795 of the family's 1533-position model. The record is from RNAcentral.
CCUACGGGUGGCUGCAGUAGGGAAUAUUGCUCAAUGGGGGAAACCCUGAAGCAGCAACGCCGCGUGGAGGAUGAAGGUCUUCGGAUUGUAAACUCACUUUGAUAGAGAAGAUAAUGACGGUAUUUAAUGACUAAGCACCGGCUAACUCCGUGCCAGCAGCCGCGGUACUACGGAGGGUGCAGGCGUUCCUCUGAAUCACUGGGCGUAAAGAGCGCGUGGGCGGGAUAGGAAGUCAGCUGUGAAAUCCUAUGGCUUAACCAUAGAACUGCAUUUGAAACUGGUAGUCUUGAGUAUGGGAGAGGUGGGUGGAAUUCUUGGUGUAGGGGUAAAAUCCGUAGAGAUCAAGAGGAAUACUCAUUGCGAAGGCGACCUGCUAGAAGAUAACUGACGCUGAUGCGCGAACGCGUGGGGAGCAAACAGGAUUAGAUACCCGUGUAGUC